AACAUCGCCAACCAAACAAGCUGGAAGCUGCUACACUAUGAAAAAGCAGCCGAUGCUGUCAUUUCAUCAGAAGUAAACACAGCACCUGACCUGAUACAGCUAUAUGAGGAAGUUGCCCAAACUGAACAGCUGAAGAAGAACUAUGAGAAAGCUGCACGUUCCCUUUGUGUGGCGCUCAACAGCAAACUCACAGUGUGGCAGUGGCUCGCACAGGGCUGCUGCUGGGUAGAGCUUAGAUUGCAGCUGGAGAGGAGCAGCAUGUUGAGGCAGCUGAAACAUACUUUACAGAGAGCCUCAGCGCCUAUCAAGCAAUGCUGAGCACAGACAAUUCCCAGACUCUUAGCACUGUUGAGGAAUUCAGCAAGUGGCUUGUCCGACUAGGGAAAAAUCAGCAGGCCUACACUCUGCUGAAAGACUUUUUGAACUGUAAGGCAGAUGCCCAUGAGGACUUCAGUGAGAAAGUUGUUGAACUUUAUCAUACAAUGGGUAGCAUUUAUCUAGCAGACAUAAGGAUACAAGAAGCUCAUCAGCUGUUCAGCAAGGUAAUUAUUAUACUACAUUUUGAGGUUUUUUUACCCUCUUACUUACCACCUGUCUUUGAAAAUUUAAAUGAAUACCGUUACACAGAGCUCUGGGCUGCUGCAUCAAAACUAGCUCUUGUUGAAGGCAGUUCAGAUCUUUCUGUGCUACUGUCAGGUUUAUUUUGCUGUGGAGGCCCAUGAUAGCUGAAGAGAAUCAGAGUCACAUUUUUGGUGGAUAUUCAUGCACCUUUCUCACCAUGUGUUAACUGCACAAAGCUCAGAGCUUUGUGGACACUUGAUUGCGUUUCCCAACAAACAGUCUCACUCCUUUGCAGAGCCCUUUGAUUAGAUUUUUUUCACUAAUAUACUGCCAUGGUAGUUGCUAAAGCACUACUAGGGGAGAGGGCACGCUAGAAAGACCAAAGCAGCCUCCACUACAGACCUUAGCUUCCAUUUCUACCUAAGCAGUCCUGUUCCCCCUCAAAACUAAUUUCAUAUAAACGUGAGUUUGUCCGAACAAGGUGUCAAGCUUCUAACUAGCUCUUACCAUUCUAACAGCUCCAUUAAAAAAAAAAAAAAUCCAUAUUUGUUCAAAUUAUUGAACAAACUACUGAACUCAACUAUUUAUGUUUAAAUAGUUAACAUUAAGAAUGUUCUGUCCAUUACAGCACUGUUUAGUACUGCUAUUAUUCUUUACACAGUUUCUUUAUGUAUAAAACCCACCUACUGGAUUCUUAGGGAUUUAUAAGUGGCUACAAAACAAAGUUCAAAAUAGUCGCUGUAGGUAACUACACACAGCUUCUCAUCUCAACUUUUCAAACUACUUUACUAACCUCACCGAAGACCCUUCUAGUCAAGGAUGUUGGCAUUUCCUUAUGAAUCCAUACAUAAUUAGAUAUCAAACAAUAAUUAUUUCCUAUGACUGAUUUUGAAAUGAGGGUAUACAAGUUAAUUCCUUCUUGGUAAUUCGGUGCUGAACAGUCCUCACGGAUUCAAAUGUUUGUGGAUGGACAUCAGCAUGUGAAAGCCAGAGAUGCAAUGACUUCUCAGUACGUUAUUAGAGGUAAGAGAUAACAUUAGCACUUGCAUCGUUACUGUUUUGUUGCACAACCAUUAGCAGGCCUUGGAGCCAAAGGCAUUAUAUAUAUUUUGGCUUCUAGUAUCUUAGCAGAUCAAUGGGAUUAAAAACAAGUUGAUGGUU
RNAcentral lists this long non-coding RNA (1722 nucleotides) under Struthio camelus australis. Its description in RNAcentral is "lncRNA (ENSSCUG00000013279.1)". The record is from RNAcentral. Lineage: Eukaryota; Metazoa; Chordata; Aves; Struthioniformes; Struthionidae.